This 107-nucleotide small nucleolar RNA is filed under the name Gossypium arboreum. RNAcentral describes it as "Plant small nucleolar RNA R71". It matches the Rfam family "Plant small nucleolar RNA R71". From Rfam's summary of the family: R71 is a member of the C/D box family of snoRNAs containing the C (UGAUGA) and D (CUGA) box motifs. Multiple nearly identical copies of this snoRNA have been identified in Arabidopsis, and it is thought to function as a 2'-O-ribose methylation guide for 18S ribosomal RNA. The record is from Rfam by way of RNAcentral. Lineage: Eukaryota; Viridiplantae; Streptophyta; Magnoliopsida; Malvales; Malvaceae.
AACCCAUGGUGAGGGCACCUUCUCAAUAAGUCUUUGUAUCUCUCCCAUGCAUCAUAAAGUGUUUCUAAAUCCAUCUGUACAAAAGAAGAGAUAUCAUUCCUUAAUUU